CUUACGAUAGACCUGCCAAAGACUCUGUGGGAUUGACGAGUAAUCUCUUCAGUGCCAGGAUGUUUAGUUAAGGCGAGUGAACCCCAGGACGGCUGCUUGAUUUGAAACCCCUCGUUGCAACUCCAUACUGCUGACAAACGAACAACAGUAAGAUUCGGAUUCGUCUGGAUGUGAACCACAAAGUAAUUUGACUCCUUAAGUGGUUGUGGGUUGCAGUCAAAUGGAAACUGUUUAAUCAGAAGUCAAGACUUAUUGGGACAGUUAAAAACAUAAGAAACUCACUGAUGUUCAGCAGAGGACUGAAAAACUGGAAACUUUGCGACUCGGGAGAUUUUGUCUGUCCCCUCUGGCUGUCAGCUGGGUCUAUUUCUGUUCUAGUAAACCAUGAGGGCAAAGAGGGUGGCUGCCUUUAAGAAAAAAGAGUCAGAAACAUGACUUUGGAAGAGUUUUCCCCAAUCCCCAGUGGAUAUGUGUGUAUGUACAUGCCUAUGGAAGUGUGUGACUGCUCCGCUGCUGCAACCCCUCAAGCUGGAAAGGAAACUCUGCAGUUCACAUUGAGAACACUUUUCAAAUAAAUUAAAAUUCCCUUCACUUUUCGUUCACUUUGCACCAUGGAGCAAAUUAGCUGAAGAGGCCAGCUGGUUUUUAUCUGUGUACAGUCUGUUGAUGUAGUCGUGAUACCCGAUUCGCUGAAGCCUGUGCUGAACUUGUGCUGCAGCACUCUGAAACAGGACCCAGCUGCUGGUGCGCCGGUGACCUGACAUCUAAUUGCUUGCAAUGGAACAAGCAGCUUGGAAAUGUGGUUUCUGGAGGAGGUGGCAGUGAUGGUGGAGUGCAGGGGGGCUAAAGAGACGAGUGACUGACACAUUGACGUGGGGGCUCAGAAACCGAGGAAGACAUUAAGUUUCUGCCUUUGAAUUUUCUCUGAACCGCACGUAAUUGUUUGCAGAACUUGAAUGACAUCAGAGCGCUGACUUUCACUAAUGGGCUCCCUGAAAGAGCCAGAAUCUGCUUCAAAACAAACUAGAGCAAGAUGGAAUUUCAAUGGGCCAAAAAGAAACAGAGCAGGAAUCGUUCAAGCAACAGAAUCCCAGAGUGAGCGUCCCACUGGGAUCCGUAUGGCUGCUGUGCGGGUUUAAAGUCUUUGUCCGCCCAUCUCCUCUGAUUACCAUCGUGUCUCUGGAGAAGUCCAUGAGGGCAGAAUUCGUGUGCAUUCAUGUGUGUUUGAAAAGAUGUGUAUGAGCGUGUUUGUAAAAGUCUGGAAGAUAAUUCCACACCAGUUAUUAUGUGUGGAGGAAAGAAAAUCCGACAGUCAGUUUAUUAUUUUUUUCUUUCAAUUAAUGUGUAACUUAAACUCGUAUGAACUGACUUUUUAGUCGCUUGGUACAGCACAACGAGCUGUACGAUGAACAAUCUUACACACGGAACAGCCUUCGUUCAUUUUAAACAAUCUGUCUCAUCACCUUAUGAAUGUGAAUCCAAUAUUCACUAGAUUUCAGUCUAUUUUGGUCUCCUCCAACUCAAGAUAGCAUCUGUUUUUUUGGUCGCUAAGAGCUCCACUGUUUUCACCAGCUAGUUUUCUAACGACAGCCACAUUUACACAUCACAUCACUUCACGCAUCUUUGGCGGCACACACAACUCUUCAAUUUCAAAAGUGAAAAAUGCAUCCAAGAAGCUUUCGGGAUGGAUUGAAUUUCAGUUUCUCAAAGCACCUCCAGCCUCCAGCUUAGCCACUGAAUUAUCUGUAAGUGUGAGGAAGCAGUGAGAGUUGGAGCACACUUGAAAUGUAAAUGGGGCUUUAGUCUGUCUGUUUAGUCUGAUGUUUGUGAAGGUAGUCUACAGGAGCUUCUAGCUUUCCUUUUUUUCACUGAAAACAGCUGUUUAUUGGAAAUGCUGCUAUUGGCAGCAGUGAGUGUGAACCAAAACAGUAAAACUACACAAUAAAGUGAAAGAUGAUAAAAUGUUCCAAAGUGUUUUGAAAAACUACAGAGUGGGAUAUUAGUUAUUUCUGGAUUUGAUGCCAUGAGAACCAUUCUGCACAUCUUAUGUUGUUUUUUAUUGUUGAUAUAAAAACAUUGUUUAGAGCUGCUCCAUUUUAUGAUAAGUUUAUAUCUGAAGAUUUCACUUUUAGAACUAUAGCUCAGAUCAGAACUUAAAUCAUAGCUUUUCAUUUCAAACAGCAACAGCACACUAACUCACUGUGAAUAUGUAUAUGGCAUAUAGAUGUAUGCAUACACACACGACUGCAACUCUUGCACAAUGUCAACUGCACGUGUCUUUCCCUCUCAGCAUUUAUAGCUAUUCAUUCUUCUGUUUUAAGGCAUAUUUUGUCAUGUCUUGUUGUUACUGCACAGUCUUGUGAAACUGCCCAAACAUGUAUGAGCAUGUGACAAAUAAAAAACUCCAGAACCUUGAA
This is a long non-coding RNA of Amphiprion ocellaris (clown anemonefish), 2417 nucleotides long. RefSeq lists it as uncharacterized. The transcript is spliced from 2 exons. The record is from RefSeq and is a predicted model, not a curated record. NCBI's taxonomy places the organism in Eukaryota, Metazoa, Chordata, Actinopteri, Pomacentridae.